RNAcentral lists this ribosomal RNA (384 nucleotides) under uncultured prokaryote. Its description in RNAcentral is "bacterial SSU rRNA". It matches the Rfam family "Archaeal small subunit ribosomal RNA", at positions 341 to 725 of the family's 1478-position model. The record is from RNAcentral.
GCGAAAACUUUACAAUGCUGGCAACAGCGAUAAGGGGACCUCGAGUACCAGGUUACAAAUCUGGCUGUCGAGAUGCCUAAAAAGCAUUUCAUAGCAAGGGCCGGGCAAGACCGGUGCCAGCCGCCGCGGUAACACCGGCGGCUCGAGUGGUAACCGUUAUUAUUGGGUCUAAAGGGUCUGUAGCCGGCCGGAUAAGUCUCUUGGGAAAUCUGGCAGCUUAACUGUCAGGCUUUCAGGAGAUACUGUUCGGCUCGAGGCCGGGAGAGGUGAGAGGUACUUCAGGGGUAGGGGUGAAAUCUUGUAAUCCUUGAAGGACCACCAGUGGCGAAGGCGUCUCACCAGAACGGACCUGACGGCAAGGGACGAAAGCUAGGGGCACGAACC